UGACGCAGCGACGCCGCGUGGGGGAUGACGGCCUUCGGGUUGUAAACCUCUUUCGACAGGGACGAAGGGUGACUGACGGUACCUGUAGAAGAAUCACCGGCCAAAUUCGGUGCCACCAGCCGCGGUAAUACGUAAGGUGCCAAGCGUUUUUCGGAAUUAUUGGGCGUAAAUGGUGGUUAGGCGGUUGUGUAAUCGGUCGUGAAAGCCUCGGGCUAAACCGGAGAAUGGCGUUGAUAACGGCCUCACUGGAGUUCGGCAGGGGAGACUGGAAUUCCCGGUGUAGCGGUGAAAUGCGCAGAUAUCGGGAGGAACACCGGUGGCGAAGGCGCGUCUCUGGGCAAUACUGACGCUGAGCGCGA
This 359-nucleotide ribosomal RNA is filed under the name uncultured bacterium. RNAcentral describes it as "bacterial SSU rRNA". It matches the Rfam family "Bacterial small subunit ribosomal RNA", at positions 384 to 756 of the family's 1533-position model. The record is from RNAcentral.